RNAcentral lists this long non-coding RNA (512 nucleotides) under Piliocolobus tephrosceles (Ugandan red Colobus). RNAcentral describes it as "lncRNA (ENSPTEG00000019517.1)". The record is from RNAcentral. Lineage: Eukaryota; Metazoa; Chordata; Mammalia; Primates; Cercopithecidae.
CUUUAUAUUUAUAUAAUAAAAAGGCAAGACAAAUAUGCCUUCUUAUUUUUGGCCUUAUUUAUUAUGUACCUUCCAUUUGAUUCUUAUUUUUUUUUUUUUUUUUAAUUCACUGUUUCAAAUAAACAUUUAAUAAUUACGCUUUUUUUUAGUAACGAAUUCGUAACAUUUUUUUUUAGUAACGAAUUCGUAGCACUUUUUUUAGUAACGAAUUAAUAGCACUUUUUUUUAGUAACGAAUUAAUAGCACUUUUUUUUUUUUUUAUAUGGUAAUUCGAAAUUUGUCAAUUAAAAAAGUGGGAAGGUACGGGAGUGCGGAACUAAAAAAAAAAAAAAAAGAGGAAUUUAAAAAAUAAAAAAUAUGUUACAAGUGUAGCAAAAGUUGUAAUAAAGAUGUAAAAAUAAACUUGCAAAGAAAAUAUGAACAAUAUUGCACUGGAAACACCAUUAUUUUCUCCUAAUAUAACGGAUGUGGAUUUUGACGUUUUCAAUUUAUGGCUAAAAGGACACAAUGGG